UUCAGCUCCACCUGGUGGAGACUUCUCUGGCGGAAAGCUGGGUAAAGUAUGGUUUGAAAAAAAGAAGUACAAGAAAGUGGGAACGGAGAAUUCAGGUGAUUGGGCUUCUACUUCAGUUGGUACAAAUUUUACUCCCCAUGUCAUCACUGUCAAUGCUGGAGAGGAUGUUACUAUGAAGGUUAUAUCAUUUUCGCAACAAGGACCUCGAGCUAUUUGCAUUCUGUCUGCUAAUGGGGUAAUUUCAAAUGUUACUCUUCGUCAACCAGAUUCUUCUGGGGGUACUUUGACAUAUGAGGGCCGAUUUGAAAUACUUUCUUUGUCUGGAUCAUUUAUGCCUACUGAGAGUCAGGG
This 351-nucleotide unclassified non-coding RNA is filed under the name Hevea brasiliensis (rubber tree). The record is from RNAcentral. Lineage: Eukaryota; Viridiplantae; Streptophyta; Magnoliopsida; Malpighiales; Euphorbiaceae.